AGCAGCCGCGGUAAUUCCAGCUCCAAUAGCGUAUAUUAAAGUUGCUGCAGUUAAAAAGCUCGUAGUUGAAUUUCGGGACCAUCAUGUCGGUCGUGCCUCGGUACGUACUGGCAUUGUUGGUUUCUCCCUUCUGACGAACCAUGAUGUCAUUUAUUUGGUGUCGUGGGAAAUCAGGACUGUUACUUUGAAAAAUUAGAGUGUUUAAAGCAGGCUCACGCUUGAAUACAUUAGCAUGGAAUAAUGAAAUAGGACGUUUGAUUCUAUUUUGUUGGUUUCUAGGAUCGACGUAAUGAUUAAUAGGGAUAGUUGGGGGCAUUAGUAUUCAAUUGUCAGAGGUGAAAUUCUUGGAUUUAUUGAAGACUAACUACUGCGAAAGCAUUUGCCAAGGAUGUUUUCAUUAAUCAAGAACGAAAGUUAGGGGAUCGAAGACGAUCAGAUACCGUCGUAGUCUUAACCAUAAA
Molecule: ribosomal RNA, 461 nt
Filed under: uncultured Glomus
Lineage: Eukaryota; Fungi; Glomeromycota; Glomeromycetes; Glomerales; Glomeraceae
Description: SSU rRNA
Rfam family: Eukaryotic small subunit ribosomal RNA
Source: RNAcentral